AGUUUGACUUAAAUCGAUUUAAGUCCGAUUACAAGGGAGAUUAGUUCCUGAUUUGAUCAGGAUUUGACUCAAUUAAUUCCUGAUCUGAUUAGGAUUUAAUUAAGGGAUUUGGUUCUUAAUUUGAUUAGGUUUAUUAUCCUUUUGAGUCUAACCAAAUCUGAUUUGGUUUGGAACUAAAUUAGAAACUAAUCUAGAAUCC
This 199-nucleotide long non-coding RNA is filed under the name Elaeis guineensis (African oil palm). RNAcentral describes it as "long non-coding RNA (EGUI_LNC073901)". The record is from RNAcentral. Lineage: Eukaryota; Viridiplantae; Streptophyta; Magnoliopsida; Arecales; Arecaceae.